Molecule: long non-coding RNA, 429 nt
Filed under: Vigna radiata
Lineage: Eukaryota; Viridiplantae; Streptophyta; Magnoliopsida; Fabales; Fabaceae
Description: long non-coding RNA (VRAD_LNC013439)
Source: RNAcentral
AAGCUUGCAUUUUAUUCCGUAGAGCUGAAGGGCCUCAGGUUGAACUACCUUCAUUUAUUUAUGCAUGAAUAUGAAAACAUGUGAUUAAGUUAGUAUAAAUCUAAAUAAAUAUUAAGAUGCAUAAUUUUGUUGAAAGAAUCAAAAUACAUACCUCCUUAAAGAUACUGAGACCUGCUCUGAUACUGUAGAAAUUCAAGUAAUCAAAUUAAUAUCAUAUAACAAUAUCUGACUUUGGAUGAACAAGUUAUCUUCUAAUAGUAAAAAUAAAAAUAAAAUCCUCAAAAUGUCAAAAUUUUAUGAUAUGAUUACAAAAAAUCAAAAAAUAUAUACUCAAAAUUUCUUUAAAUUUAAAAUGUAAUGUUUUUAUAUGCUAACCUGAUGUACUGUAAUGUUUUUGCUGUGAAAGAUAAAAUGUUUAUUUGAUUAGCA